UGGGGAAUAUUGCGCAAUGGGGGGAACCCUGACGCAGCCAUGCCGCGUGAAUGAAGAAGGCCUUAGGGUUGUAAAGUUCUUUCGGUAUUGAGGAAGGUUGAUGUGUUAAUAGCACAUCAAAUUGACGUUAAAUACAGAAGAAGCACCGGCUAACUCCGUGCCAGCAGCCGCGGUAAUACGGAGGGUGCGAGCGUUAAUCGGAAUAACUGGGCGUAAAGGGCACGCAGGCGGUUAUUUAGGUGAGGUGUGAAAGCCCCGGGCUUAACCUGGGAAUUGCAUUUCAGACUGGGUAACUAGAGUACUUUAGGGAGGGGUAGAAUUCCACGUGUAGCGGUGAAAUGCGUAGAGAUGUGGAGGAAUACCGAAGGCGAAGGCAGCCCCUUGGGAAUGUACUGACGCUCAUGUGCGAAAGCGUGGGGAGCAAACAGGAUUAGAUACCCUGGUAGUCCACGCUGUAAACGCUGUCGAUUUGGGGGUUGGGGUUUAACUCUGGCGCCCGUAGCUAACGUGAUAAAUCGACCGCCUGGGGAGUACGGCCGCAAGGUUA
This 547-nucleotide ribosomal RNA is filed under the name uncultured bacterium. Its description in RNAcentral is "bacterial SSU rRNA". It matches the Rfam family "Bacterial small subunit ribosomal RNA", at positions 355 to 896 of the family's 1533-position model. The record is from RNAcentral.